Molecule: unclassified non-coding RNA, 109 nt
Filed under: uncultured Sporomusa sp.
Lineage: Bacteria; Bacillati; Bacillota; Negativicutes; Selenomonadales; Sporomusaceae
Description: yybP-ykoY
Source: RNAcentral
ACCUUCAUCGUAAGGGGAGUAGCUUUUCGGAUAAUUGUCAACAUACGGUGCCUGAGGCAUCUGGCAUUAUCAUUGGUAUAUUACCAAUAGUGAGACCUUCGGUAUGUAU